Molecule: long non-coding RNA, 2546 nt
Organism: Polistes canadensis
Lineage: Eukaryota; Metazoa; Arthropoda; Insecta; Hymenoptera; Vespidae
Exons: 5
Source: RefSeq, a predicted model, not a curated record
UUUUUUUAAUAUUAAUUUAACGUUAAUAUAGGUAUGUAAAAAGAUAAAUUUUAAUUUUGCGCGUUUUCUUUCCUUUAUUUCUUUCUCCCUCUCUUUCUUGAGUAACGUCGCAAGAUGAGUCACGUGACGUUACCAGAUACACACACACGCAUACAAUACAAACCGCCAAUUUCACAUCUACAAUACAUAAGUACCAGUACUACGCUAGUAGAUUUUCUUUUUAUCGGAACAUUUCAGUGCAAUUCCAAUAUGUCUGGUGCAAUCUUAAGUAAGUUUUCUCUUUCUCGUUUGCCUUCAUAUUUGAUAUUCUUCAAACCGGUCGAAGACAUUUGCUUGAAAUAUUUCGAGGAGACUGUACGCUAUGCGUUUGUUGAGGAACUCAUUAGCUUGCACUCGCUUAAUCCCUAGUUUAUGCGCAACGAUUCCAGUCAUGAAAACAUCUUCGAGUUUAAGGUUUGCCUGAUUGCUGUCCUUGCUUCCACAUGCGUAGGUGCUGACAUUAUAAUAAUAACCAAGUCCAUUUCUUUGCCAAAAUCUGGACAUUUUUCUGGUAUAGGUACGGUUGAGCGAGGUGCUUACGGAAGACAAAACUUGAGAACUAGAUGACGUAGAAAUUGUAGUGAUAAUUGUUGCAGGAUUGCUUGCAUUAUGUUGAGAAUAAGAAUUCAAAGUCAAAGGUUCAUACGUCAUAUUUUUGGGCAUGGAUUGGAUAUCUAUGCUAUGGUUCGAUUGAUUUCUAAGUGCAUCCUGAUAAAUGGCGUGACCUGAAAUAAAUAAAUCUAUCAGAUGAUUGUUGCACAAAGGAUUUGGAAAGGAAUAAUUAUCAAUAAAGGAUGAUUCUCUACUAAGGCACGUUAUUCGACAGUCACCGAGGUGUUCUCCACUCUUCUUCUUUGAUCGAGCUUGCUGCUGCCUAGCACCCAACGGGCAACCCAUUCGCCACCCAUCGAUAUAUAGUACACGCAUCGACGUCGACCACGUUACUCGAAGCGAUUUUGCGUCGAUCCUUCCUCUUCCCUCCUUCUCUUCUCCUCUCUCCUCUCUUCACUCCCCACUUCCUAUUACUAUUUCCUGUUAUAUAUCGUACAGAGAUGUUAGUUUUAAAGCUGUAUAUUCAAUGUUAAAAAGUUUGGACAUAACAGUUUGUUGCUACCUAAACGUUUAGACCUGGUUCCCGCUCGAUGAAUCAUCUCAUCAGUAGGGCUGACGAGCGGACCCUACUACUUACUUUUACAUGCUCAAUAUAACACUCACUAUAGGGCAACACAGUUAGAUUUUCUAUACAACUUUGUAUGUGUAUAUAUAUAUAUAUAUAUCUAUAUAUUGUAACGUUCCUCUAUAUAUAUACACCGCUUCCAAGGAACGCCGUGUGAUUUUUAUUAGAAUCUGCGACGCCUAGCGGCAGACAGGACGAAGUCUGUACACUCACGACGAGGGUGUUCAUGGUUACCAUUAAAUUUCCAUAUGGCGCGAGAUUCGUCGAUAAAUGUUAUUUAUUGUUAAUCAAAUUUGGUCUUAUUUCUUUUGAAUUAAUAUCGUAGUAUUUAUAUCGUCAAAUUUUUUGGAAAUGAGAUUAUUAUUAUUUUUAUAGAGACCAUUUUAUAUUUUUAAAUUAAUUAUUGAUAUUUGUAAGGAAGGAUUGAUUAUUGUUGCAAUAGAAAGUAUGUGUAUGUAUAAUAUAUCUUAUAGAUGUUUCCCUCGCGUAGGUUGAAAUUCUUUAUCGCAAUGAAACCGGAUUUCCGAUCGUUACUCAUUAAAACGAUAAAAAGAAAACUAGUGAAAUAAAUAAAUUAGAAAUUCGAUAAACCUUCUCUUCUAUUAAUUCCGUUAUCAAUCUAAGUUUGCUUUUUUCGAUUAGAAAGCGUAUAACAUGUAUGUUCUACUAAACUAAAAAUGGAAUAUAUAUAUAUAUAUACAUACCUACUUUUAUCGUUUGUAUUCGGCCGAGUUUUCACGAUCAAUCUUACUCAGAGAACUAUACGCGAAUAGUCAUCUAUAAAUAUCAUGACCGAAUAUCUUUCACAUUUGCAUUAAUAAUUAUUGUCACUUCUUUUUGUUUUCUUUCUUUUAUUUUCUUUUUUUUUUUGUCAAACACAAAAUCCAAUAUUUCUAACUGAUGUAUAAAUAAUUUAAAUGUCAACAUGCGAUGAUAAUGAAAGAUUGAUUAAUCCUUUAUAUCAUUAUUAAUUAGUUGAUAUUUUUAGAUAGGUAGACUCAUCAAUGUUUUUCUUUAAAAGGGAGUAUAUAUAGUUAUAUAUAGAGAUAUAUAUAUUUAUAUAUAGUUAUAUAGUAGAUAUAUAUUUGUAAUACAAAAUACGAAUAGACGUACAUAGGUACAUACAUGAUCAUUGAUGCGUGAAGGCUCUUUGAAUGAGCAUUGGAAACGAACGCGGCGCCAUUUGCUCGAUAACCAUUCAAAGACACUGUACCGUUGACUGAUAGUUCAGCAAACAUUAUCUUUAGAUGUUUUUACAGAUAUAUAAAUAUUAGUUUAAGAAAAAGAAUUUAAUUAUUUUACUAAUGCAAACGCUCUUAACAAGCCUUCA